This 75-nucleotide antisense RNA is filed under the name Actinomadura pelletieri DSM 43383. RNAcentral's name for it is "ASpks TB sRNA". It matches the Rfam family "ASpks TB sRNA". Lineage: Bacteria; Bacillati; Actinomycetota; Actinomycetes; Streptosporangiales; Thermomonosporaceae. The record is from RNAcentral.
CUUGACCGAACCCAGCCACAGCGGCCGGCCAUCGGGACGGUCUCGCCCAUACGUGGCCAGCAACGCCUGAGCUUC